This 469-nucleotide unclassified non-coding RNA is filed under the name uncultured Glomus. RNAcentral describes it as "SSU rRNA". It matches the Rfam family "Eukaryotic small subunit ribosomal RNA", at positions 569 to 1043 of the family's 1831-position model. The record is from RNAcentral. Lineage: Eukaryota; Fungi; Glomeromycota; Glomeromycetes; Glomerales; Glomeraceae.
AGCAGCCGCGGUAAUUCCAGCUCCAAUAGCGUAUAUUAAAGUUGCUGCAGUUAAAAAGCUCGUAGUUGAAUUUCGGGACCAUCAUGUCGGUCGUGCCUCGGUACGUACUGGCAUUGUUGGUUUCUCCCUUCUGACGAACCAUGAUGUCAUUUAUUUGGUGUCGUGGGAAAUCAGGACUGUUACUUUGAAAAAAUUAGAGUGUUUAAAGCAGGCUCACGCUUGAAUACAUUAGCAUGGAAUAAUGAAAUAGGACGUUUGAUUCUAUUUUGUUGGUUUCUAGGAUCGACGUAAUGAUUAAUAGGGAUAGUUGGGGGCAUUAGUAUUCAAUUGUCAGAGGUGAAAUUCUUGGAUUUAUUGAAGACUAACUACUGCGGAAGCAUUUGCCAAGGAUGUUUUCAUUAAUCAAGAACGAAAGUUAGGGGAUCGAAGACGAUCAGAUACCGUCGUAGUCUUAACCAUAAACUAUGCC